GGGCGAAUAGCUCAGUCGGGAGAGCGUUUCCCUUACAAGGAAGAGGCCACAGGUUCGAGCCCUGUUUCGCCCA
This 73-nucleotide transfer RNA is filed under the name Anaerolineales bacterium. RNAcentral's name for it is "tRNA-Val". It matches the Rfam family "tRNA". From Rfam's summary of the family: Transfer RNA (tRNA) molecules are approximately 80 nucleotides in length. Their secondary structure includes four short double-helical elements and three loops (D, anti-codon, and T loops). Further hydrogen bonds mediate the characteristic L-shaped molecular structure. tRNAs have two regions of fundamental functional importance: the anti-codon, which is responsible for specific mRNA codon recognition, and the 3' end, to which the tRNAs corresponding amino acid is attached (by aminoacyl-tRNA synthetases). tRNAs cope with the degeneracy of the genetic code in two manners: having more than one tRNA (with a specific anti-codon) for a particular amino acid; and 'wobble' base-pairing, i.e. permitting non-standard base-pairing at the 3rd anti-codon position. Lineage: Bacteria; Bacillati; Chloroflexota; Anaerolineae; Anaerolineales. The record is from RNAcentral.